This 398-nucleotide ribosomal RNA is filed under the name uncultured bacterium. Its description in RNAcentral is "bacterial SSU rRNA". It matches the Rfam family "Bacterial small subunit ribosomal RNA", at positions 28 to 429 of the family's 1533-position model. The record is from RNAcentral.
GACGAACGCUGGCGGCGUGCUUAACACAUGCAAGUCGGGCGGUAAGGCCCUUUCGGGGGUACGACGAGCGGCGAACGGGUGAGUAACACGUGGGUGACCUGCCCUCAGCUCUGGGAUAAGCCUGGGAAACCGGGUCUAAUACUGGAUAUGACUCCAUGACGCAUGUUGUGGGGUGGAAAGCCUUGUGCGGCUGAGGAUGGGCCCGCGGCCUAUCAGCUUGUUGGUGGGGUGAUGGCCUACCAAGGCGACGACGGGUAGCCGGCCUGAGAGGGCGACCGGCCACACUGGGGACUGAGACACGGCCCAGACUCCUACGGGAGGCAGCAGUGGGGAAUCUUGCGCAAUGGGCGAAAGCCUGACGCAGCGACGCCGCGUGAGGGAUGACGGCCUGGUGUAAC